RNAcentral lists this ribosomal RNA (253 nucleotides) under uncultured bacterium. RNAcentral describes it as "partial 16S ribosomal RNA". It matches the Rfam family "Bacterial small subunit ribosomal RNA", at positions 524 to 776 of the family's 1533-position model. The record is from RNAcentral.
UACAGAGGUCUCAAGCGUUGUUCGGAUUCAUUGGGCGUAAAGGGCGCGUAGGCGGGCCGCCAGGUCCGGGGUGAAAGCCUCCAGCUCAACUGGAGAAGUGCCUUGGAUACCGGCGGCCUCGAGGGAGGCAGGGGCGUGCGGAACUUCGGGUGGAGCGGUGAAAUGCGUAGAUAUCCGAAGGAACACCGGUGGCGAAAGCGGCGCGCUGGACCUCUUCUGACGCUGAGGCGCGAAAGCCAGGGGAGCAAACGGG